RNAcentral lists this ribosomal RNA (447 nucleotides) under uncultured bacterium. RNAcentral's name for it is "bacterial SSU rRNA". It matches the Rfam family "Bacterial small subunit ribosomal RNA", at positions 355 to 825 of the family's 1533-position model. The record is from RNAcentral.
UGGGGAAUUUUGGACAAUGGGGGCAACCCUGAUCCAGCAAUGCCGCGUGAGUGAAGAAGGCCUUAGGGUUGUAAAGCUCUUUUGGCGGGGAAGAUAAUGACGGUACCCGCAGAAUAAGCUCCGGCUAACUUCGUGCCAGCAGCCGCGGUAAUACGAAGGGAGCUAGCGUUGUUCGGAAUCACUGGGCGUAAAGCGCACGUAGGUGGGCAGUUAAGUCAGGGGUGAAAGCCCGAGGCUCAACCUCGGAAUUGCCUCUGAUACUGGCUGUCUAGAGUUCGAGAGAGGUGAGUGGAAUUCCUAGUGUAGAGGUGAAAUUCGUAGAUAUUAGGAAGAACACCGGUGGCGAAGGCGGCUCACUGGCUCGAUACUGACACUGAGGUGCGAAAGCGUGGGGAGCAAACAGGAUUAGAUACCCGAGUAGUCCCUGAGCGGGCUGGCAAGGCGCAU